RNAcentral lists this ribosomal RNA (465 nucleotides) under uncultured bacterium. Its description in RNAcentral is "partial 16S ribosomal RNA". It matches the Rfam family "Bacterial small subunit ribosomal RNA", at positions 338 to 795 of the family's 1533-position model. The record is from RNAcentral.
CCUACGGGUGGCAGCAGUAGGGAAUUUUCGUCAAUGGGCGCAAGCCUGAACGAGCGAUGCCGCGUGAGUGAAGAAGGCCCUCGGGUCGUAAAGCUCUGUUGCGGGGGAAAAAAGGCAGCACCAGGAAAUGGGUGCUGACAGAUGGUGCACCGCCAGAAUGUCACGGCUUAAUACGGGCCAGCAACCGCGGUAAUACGUAGGUGGCGAGCGUUAUCCGGAAUGAAUGGGCGUAAAGGGUGCGCAGGCGGUCCUGUAAGUCUGGAGUGAAACGGAUGAGCGCAACUCAUGCAGGGCUGUGGAAACUGGAGGACUGGAGAGGAGGAGAGGGCGGUGGAACGCGAUGUGUAGCGGUAAAAUGCGUAGAUAUAUGGAAGAACACCAGUGGCGAAGGCAGCCGCCUGGCGUGUUACUGACGCUGAGGCACGAAAGCGUGGGGAGCAAACAGGAUUAGAUACCCGUGUAGUC